GAUACUCAGUUUUCUCGUCGGAAGCGCGGAAGUGUAGUAUCGUUAUUUCGUUGUUCAGUGAUGGACGUGUGACACUGUGGGGAUGUGAAUAAUUCCUUGUGGCCUAAGUAAAGAAGACUGCUUGGUUUUGCCAUGGUGAAAAAGGUGGCUUUGUCUGGUUGUUUGAAUGAUGGUUACGUGACUUGGUGGCGGUUCUCAUCGUCAGACUUGAUAGAGACUUCUGGUUAAAACUGCUACCAGGCUUUCGAGGAAUGUGAGGCUCUUUGCCAAGUAAACGAUGCUCUUGAAGUAGCCGAAGUCAAAAUUCGAAGGGAAGAGGAACUUUCAUCAAGCUACACAAAAAUGGACAUAUUAACCAGUGUUGGCUUCAUGAAACCCAAGUGUGACCUGUCGAUCAACCAACCACUCCCACAACCCCAAUUUAUUAUUUUUUUUUACCUCCACCCCUACAGGGGCGGUGCUCCUGUAGGGGUGGAGGCCCCCCUUCAUGCCAUGUUCCGUAGGUCUUAUGACCUAUGGGCAGGGCAUUGAGGGGUUCAUUUUUCUUUAAAGGUUUUAAAUGCAUCGGUUUUUAAAAACUAACUUGCCUUAACUAAAUUUUAGUUUAAGAAUUGGGUGUAACUAAUGCUUAAAUUCAACACUUAAAUUUUUAUAUGAAUUUCAUAUUUAAUAAAGAGCUGUUACAUGCCUCUUAGUUUUUAAAGUGUUUGCAUUAUACUACUGAAUGUUGGUAAUAUAGUAUGGAGCUUAACGUAAGCUUAGAAAUGUUUCCUUAAAUUGAAGUUGGUCCUCUAAUUAUAAUUUGGAAAGUUCAGUAGUAAUAAAUAUUUUUGUGCCACUGCUUAAACUGAAAUUUACUUUUUAAAAAUGGGGUAAAAAUAUUAAGUUAUUGCUUUAAACGCAUAAUCCAACGUUGUUUUUUAUUGAUUAAAACUUAAAUUUCUUCCAUAUGUUAAUAGUUCAAAUUAAGUUUUAUAACAUUAGUGAUGUUCGUGCUACGAAUACAAAGACCGUUUUCACUCUAAUGCAAUGGACAGACCUAUGUUUAACUAAUAGUUAGCAGAAUUUGCUCCAGUAAUGUUAGUCGCUGUCUGAGCAACGACUGGCAGAUUAUGCUAUACCUUUACUUGAUAACCCUUGCAAAUUGACGCUUUGCAAUUUCCAAGGCAGCUUCUCGAAGUAGAUGCUUUCUCCACCGUCGUUCCUUUGGUCUCACUUUGCUAGUACUAUGGGUACUUCGGUCCCUUCGUUUGCCAGCAGUUUGUCUGCCAGCAAUUGUUACUUUGGUUAAUGGGUUUAUAAAUGGUUUGUAUAGGAGAAAAUUUGGUCUACAGUGAAGGCUUCAGUUAUGUCAACCUUAUUUUACAACCUUUCCAAGAAUUUUGUUUGUAUUUUAUCAUAAUUAAUUUUUCUGGCGCAUUUUUUUUUUGCUUUGCAGGAUGUAUACUGGAGCAGCGUUAUUAAAGACGCUGUAAACUAUUCUUAUUCAAGAACUACGGUCCCCUAUUUUGAAUGAGGGGAGGAUGGGGUCUGGCGGUGUUACUGAUAUAUUUAAAAUUAUGCCAAGAGUUGUUCUGCAUUGAUGGGUCGAAGGCAUAAUGCAGUUUUUUGUACUUCAAUAAAUGGUAUUAAAUUAUGUACAUGUAAAUGUUCUUACUUUCACCAAUAAUAGCUCUCUAACUGGUA
This is a long non-coding RNA of Macrobrachium nipponense, 1686 nucleotides long. RefSeq lists it as uncharacterized. NCBI's taxonomy places the organism in Eukaryota, Metazoa, Arthropoda, Malacostraca, Decapoda, Palaemonidae. The transcript has 2 exons. The record is from RefSeq and is a predicted model, not a curated record.